This 63-nucleotide transfer RNA is filed under the name Pholidoptera griseoaptera (dark bush-cricket). RNAcentral describes it as "tRNA-Gly". RNAcentral also lists the same sequence under 1 other name. The record is from RNAcentral. Lineage: Eukaryota; Metazoa; Arthropoda; Insecta; Orthoptera; Tettigoniidae.
AUUUAUUUAGUAUAUAAGUACAUUUGACUUCCAAUCAAAAAGAUUGAUUAUUCAAAAUAAAUA